Molecule: non-coding RNA, 73 nt
Organism: Agrilus planipennis (emerald ash borer)
Lineage: Eukaryota; Metazoa; Arthropoda; Insecta; Coleoptera; Buprestidae
Source: Rfam
UCUCCCGUAGCUUAGUGGUCAGAGCAAUGGUGCGGAAAGCCAAAGGUCCCGGGUUCGAUUCCCGGCGAGGGUG